RNAcentral lists this ribosomal RNA (407 nucleotides) under uncultured bacterium. RNAcentral's name for it is "partial 16S ribosomal RNA". It matches the Rfam family "Bacterial small subunit ribosomal RNA", at positions 30 to 526 of the family's 1533-position model. The record is from RNAcentral.
AUCGAACGCUGGCGGCAGGCUUAACACAUGCAAGUCGAGCGGAGCGGCGGACGGGUGAGUAAUGCCUAGGAAUCUGCCUGGUAGUGGGGGAUAACGUCCGGAAACGGGCGCUAAUACCGCAUACUAUCAGAUGAGCCUAGGUCGGAUUAGCUAGUUGGUGGGGUAAAGGCCUACCAAGGCGACGAUCCGUAACUGGUCUGAGAGGAGGAUCAGUCACACUGGAAUGGAGACACGGUCAAGACUCCUAGGGGGGGCGCCAGUGGGGAAUAUUGGACAAUGGGCGAAGGCCUGAGCCAGCCAUGCCGCGUGGGUGAGGAAGGUCUUCGGAUUGUAAAGCACUUUAAGUUGGGAGGCGUUACCAACAGAGUAAGCACCGGCUAACUUCGUGCCAGCAGCCGCGGUAAUUC